Molecule: ribosomal RNA, 521 nt
Filed under: uncultured bacterium
Lineage: Bacteria
Description: bacterial SSU rRNA
Rfam family: Archaeal small subunit ribosomal RNA
Source: RNAcentral
AACCUCCGCAAUGUGAGAAAUCGCGACGGGGGGAUCCCAAGUGCCAUUCUUAACGGGAUGGCUUUUCAUUAGUGUAAAGAGCUUUUGGAAUAAGGGCUGGGCAAGACCGGUGCCAGCCGCCGCGGUAACACCGGCAGCUCUAGUGGUAGCAGUUUUUAUUGGGCCUAAAGCGUCCGUAGCCGGUUUAAUAAGUCUCUGGUGAAAUCCUGUAGCUUAACUGUGGGAAUUGCUGGAGAUACUAUUAGACUUGAGACCGGGAGAGGUUAGAGGUACUCCCAGGGUAGAGGUGAAAUUCUGUAAUCCUGGGAGGACCGCCUGUUGCGAAGGCGUCUAACUGGAACGGUUCUGACGGUGAGGGACGAAAGUUAGGGGCGCGAACCGGAUUAGAUACCCGGGUAGUCCUAACUGUAAACGAUGCGGACUUGGUGUUGGGGUGGCUUUGAGCUGCUCCAGUGCCGAAGGGAAGCUGUUAAGUCCGCCGCCUGGGAAGUACGGUCGCAAGGCUGAAACUUAAAGGAAUU